Pelodiscus sinensis (Chinese soft-shelled turtle) is the source of this 158-nucleotide small nuclear RNA. Its record names the gene U1. It matches the Rfam family "U1 spliceosomal RNA". From Rfam's summary of the family: U1 is a small nuclear RNA (snRNA) component of the spliceosome (involved in pre-mRNA splicing). The record is from Ensembl. NCBI's taxonomy places the organism in Eukaryota, Metazoa, Chordata, Testudines, Trionychidae.
GGACUCCUUGUUGCUUUUGCAUGAUCAUGAAGAUGAUUUUCCCAGGGUGAGGCUCAUCAUUACACUGUGGCUGUGCUGAUGCCUGCAAUUUCCCCAAAUGGGGAAAACUUGACUGCACAAUUUGUGAUAGUGCGGGACUAUGUUUGUGCUUUCCCCUG